Stegodyphus mimosarum is the source of this 74-nucleotide non-coding RNA. NCBI's taxonomy places the organism in Eukaryota, Metazoa, Arthropoda, Arachnida, Araneae, Eresidae. The record is from Rfam.
GCCUUCGUGGUGUAAUGGUCAGCACACUGAGCCGGUAUUUCAGAGGUCCGUGGGAUCGAUUCCCGGCGAAGGAA